RNAcentral lists this ribosomal RNA (425 nucleotides) under uncultured bacterium. RNAcentral describes it as "partial 16S ribosomal RNA". It matches the Rfam family "Bacterial small subunit ribosomal RNA", at positions 354 to 796 of the family's 1533-position model. The record is from RNAcentral.
GUGGGGAAUAUUGGACAAUGGGCGCAAGCCUGAUCCAGCCAUGCCGCGUGAGUGAUGAAGGCCCUAGGGUUGUAAAGCUCUUUCACCGAUGAAGAUAAUGACGGUAGUCGGAGAAGAAGCCCCGGCUAACUUCGUGCCAGCAGCCGCGGUAAUACGAAGGGGGCUAGCGUUGUUCGGAAUUACUGGGCGUAAAGCGCACGUAGGCGGAUAUUUAAGUCAGGGGUGAAAUCCCAGAGCUCAACUCUGGAACUGCCUUUGAUACUGGGUAUCUCGGGUAUGGAAGGGGUGAGUGGAAUUCCGAGUGUAGAGGUGAAAUUCGUAGAUAUUCGGAGGAACACCAGUGGCGAAGGCGGCUCACUGGUCCAUUACUGACGCUGAGGUGCGAAAGCGUGGGGAGCAAACAGGAUUAGAAACCCGGGUAGUCC